RNAcentral lists this ribosomal RNA (466 nucleotides) under uncultured bacterium. RNAcentral describes it as "partial 16S ribosomal RNA". It matches the Rfam family "Bacterial small subunit ribosomal RNA", at positions 28 to 507 of the family's 1533-position model. The record is from RNAcentral.
GACGAACGCUGGCGGCGUGCUUAACACAUGCAAGUCGAACGGUAAGACUCCAGCUUGCUGGGGUACACGAGUGGCGAACGGGUGAGUAACACGUGGGUGACCUGCCCUGCACUUCGGGAUAAGCCUGGGAAACUGGGUCUAAUACCGGAUAGGACCAUGGUGUGGAUACUGUGGUGGAAAGUUUUUUCGGUGUGGGAUGGGCCCGCGGCCUAUCAGCUUGUUGGUGGGGUAAUGGCCUACCAAGGCGGCGACGGGUAGCCGGCCUGAGAGGGUGGACGGCCACAUUGGGACUGAGACACGGCCCAGACUCCUACGGGAGGCAGCAGUGGGGAAUAUUGCACAAUGGGCGGAAGCCUGAUGCAGCGACGCCGCGUGGGGGAUGACGGCCUUCGGGUUGUAAACUCCUUUCACCAUCGACGAAGGGUUUCUGACGGUAGAUGGAGAAGAAGCACCGGCUAACUACGUG